GAUUCAUCCAAAUAAUCCAU
RNAcentral lists this small nuclear RNA (20 nucleotides) under Arabidopsis thaliana (thale cress). RNAcentral's name for it is "snRNA_11845". Lineage: Eukaryota; Viridiplantae; Streptophyta; Magnoliopsida; Brassicales; Brassicaceae. The record is from RNAcentral.